GCCUAAAGCGUCCGUAGCCGGCUCUGUAAGUUUUCGGUUAAAUCCAUAUGCUCAACAUAUGGGCCGCCGGGAAUACUGCAUAGCUAGGGAGUGGGAGAGGUAGACGGUACUCCGUAGGAAGGGGUAAAAUCCUUUGAUCUAUGGAUGACCACCUGUGGCGAAGGCGGUCUACCAGAACACGUUCGACGGUGAGGGAUGAAAGCUGGGGGAGCAAACCGGAUUAGAUACCCGGGUAGUCCCAGCUGUAAACUAUGCAAACUCAGUGAUGCAUUGGCUUGUGGCCAGUGCAGUGCCGCAGAGAAGUCGUUAAGUUUGCCGCCUGGGAAGUACGUACGCAAGUAUGAAACUUAAAGGAAUUGGCGGGGGAGCACCACAAGGGGUGAAGCCUGCGGUUCAAUUGGAGUCAACGCCAGAAAUCUUACCCGAAGAGACAGCAGGAUGAAGGUCAAGCUGAAGACUUUACCAGACAAGCUGAGAAGUGGUGCAUGGCCGUCGCCAGCUCGUGCCGUGAGGUGUCCUGUUAAGUCAGGUAACGAGCGAGAUCCUUGCCUCUAGUUGCUACCAUUACUCUCAGGAGUAGUGGGGCGAAUUAGCGGGACUGCCGUAGUUAAUACGGAGGAAGGAGAGGGCCACGGCAGGUCAGUAUGCCCCGAA
Molecule: ribosomal RNA, 654 nt
Filed under: uncultured archaeon
Lineage: Archaea
Description: bacterial SSU rRNA
Rfam family: Archaeal small subunit ribosomal RNA
Source: RNAcentral